AUGUGUGCCUCUUGCAAACACACAACUAGAGGACAAAAACAUUGAUAGCCUAUGUGGCUCUCCGAUUGUAUUCUCUAGUACUUUAAGAUCCUUCUACAACAAAGAAAACAAUGUGGACUCCAAAUCAGCAGAAGAAUCUCGUAAAGAAGCUGAUCAUGGCCAAGCCGAGCUCAGAACAUCAAAAGUUGAAUGGGUGGAGCAGUAUCAGCUUGGUGUCUUCAUUACAUUGACAGUGCUGCCAAGUGGAAAGAAAGGACACAACCACUGCUUUGACAAUGUCAUAAAGGUAUAAGCUUAUUGUUUUUGAUAUUUUAUCUUUAUUUUAAAUGCGUUUCAAUUUGCUGUUUGCAUGUGAAAAAUAGACUUAACCAAUUUUUUUUUGAAGCCCCAUUUUUGUUUUAUGACACCUGAGCCACUUGCACAAAGAUAUGUUUAUCACUCUAUUGGAGAGAAGUGGGCUGCAAUUAGGAAGGGGAGUGUUCAACGACCCACUGAAAAGAAAAGAUAAGAUUAUGGAUAAUGUUCCAAUAGGUAUUGCUCGGGAUCAAGGACUUCUUCCAUGAACUACUGUGCUAAAGAAGAAACUCAGGUAUUUAUCUAGUUACUCACAUCCAGAUGCGUAUUUAUAUGCUUAUUCGCUUGUAUAUCUGACUUUGAGGUGUCUUCUUGUUGUUAGAAUAUGUGUAAAAGAAAUGCUGAAAAAUCUGAAUAAGCAACCAUUCCUCACAGCCGGUGGUUCCAAACCUAAUUCUAGAAGGAGGACUGAAAUGGUGAAAGAUGUAACCUCGUUUAUUUUAUUUUACUAAUUAAACUUGCUAACCAUGUAAACUAUUCCUUCUACUUUAGCUAAUCUAUUCCAUCUUAAUUUUUCCAUACAUAGACAGCUGUGAUGGGGAUAAAGCCCGGACGAGUACAACUGUAUCUUAUACGCAUAAGAAACAAGGAUCAUAUGUGAGUGAGGAGGCAAGAGAAAUAUGUGUAAGUUGCGCUCCUUGCUCUUUACCUCUUCUACAAAUAGAAUCAUUAUUUGCAUCUUGGCAUGAGUUUGUAUUGCUGGUAACAGCAUGAGAUCGUAAGUCUGUUAUUUGAGGAGGAGCUCUUGCUACACUUUGUAGGAGUAAAUUCAGGUGUGUUUCAGUGCCUUUGAACAAACUGUUGUAGUUUGUGAUGCUGCACCAUAUGUUUUUAAUUUCACCUCAACCAGAAAUGUAAUCGUGAUUGAGCCCAAAAUUAAUAAAACAAGGAAAAAGAAAGAAAGGAGGAGAAGACUUGAUGGGGUCAGGUGUCAUGUUUGAAACCUUAGGUUUGAUAGUGUCUUGCUACGGUUAUGAUUAUGUAGCUCAUAAGUGGAGAAUGCUUUAAAGGAUAGUUUCUGUUGUAUGGUGUAUGUUCCAUUUGUUACCUACGUUUCGAGUCAUUAUCACUUCUCUCCCAAAACCGAGUCUGGUGGCUGAGUCAUAUGUGCUUUCUCACAACAAGCCCAAGUACAGGGUGUCACUGCCACAAAUUGACUCAUCUCCGGUUUUACUUGCAACACUUGUUUCUUUGAUGUUUAUACCUUUUCUUUUGUCAGUUGCUAAUAUUCAUAACAUGGAAAGUUAGCAAUCUUUUAAAAUCUGUGUAGAAAAUGCUAAUUUUGUCUUUCUUCUAUUGAAAACUCUACUCUCUUUUAGUAUAUGCUGCCUACUAGUUAAACUAUUCUUGUGCGGAUAAAAUGUUGACAAAGAUUUUCUGGAUUGUGUACGUGUUUAGUAAGUUGAGCAAACAUUGGGUCGAACUACUAUGGUUGAGUCUGAAAUUUCUACAAAUGAUGCGACUGGUGGAGUGCUAGGAAAAGAGCGUCCUGGAAGGGUAAGAUGUUGGGAUAAAGUGCUGAACAGACACAUCUCCACGUCAAGUAAUGAUGUUACAUGUUCUUCACACUGCCAACAGAAGUACAACCAGUUGUUGAAUAUUCUCAAAGCAUACAUGAUAAUGACGAUAAUGAAGGAAGGGACAAUACCUGAACAAUGUUGUGAUCUUUACUUCUCCUACAACAGUGAACACUAGAGAUUUUUUGUUUUUAGGCUAAUGAUGCUUUUUUGAUUUUCUCCUUCACUUGUAAAAGAACUACAUCUACAAUAUGACAAUUUUAUAUGUCCGACAAGAAUUAAGAAGGAUUGGUCAGACAAAAUAUGAAGCGAACACUGAACCUUGAUAUACCUAGAACAAUAUAUUUUUGUUACCACGAAAUAUAUUCACAACCGCCAAUCAUUCAAAUAUCUCCAACUCUUUUUAUUCUCUUUUUUUGCAGCCCAAUGAUGCAUCUAGCGGACCCUUUCACCCCGGCAUCUCAACGGGUGGCUCGAGCCUAAAACUUAUUGUUUUAGGCCUCCAAAAUACUGAGUCUUCAAAAAAUUUUAAUGACUAAUUUAAUAAUUUUAUUUGACUUAACUAAUAUUGAAGAUUUUUAAGAAAAAUAAUUUUAUUUCACUUAACUAAUAUUGAUAAUUGUUGAGAAAAAAAAGAAGAUGGUUCAAAUUGUAUAUAGAAGAAAAAAAUGAAAACCAUUUAUCUUUUACCAAAAACAUUUUAGAACUUUCAAUUACAUAACUUAAAUUUUUGUAUUAAUAAAUAAACCUUUUACAACAAAAACCAAAGUAAUGUAUUACAAACACUCCACUAACAUCUUAUUAACUAGGUCCAGAGGUACCUUUAAUUUUAUAUUACUGUAUGAGUUCAACUAAAGAACUGUUCAUAUCAAAAACAUGUAAAAAUAAAAAUAGACAACUGUAAAUUAUUAAUUUUUUUUGUGCCACUGUAUAUGAUUAAUUUGUCUGAAAAUUUUAUUUUAGUCACUAAUUUUAUUUGAGACGUUAUUAGACAUAUAACUGAUUGAAUAGAAUAGAUAUUUUGUUGAUAAAGUAUUGUAAAACAAAUCUAAUAGGGUGAACCACACACCUCUUGCUUGGCACCCGUUGGACUAGAUUCUCGUGUCGAAGAUAUUGCUUGGCAUCCGUUGGACUAGAUUUUCGUGUUUUAGAUAUAGAGUUACUUCAAAUGGAUCUGUAGAAAUAGAAGUUUGAUGGUUGGGUGGAAUAUAGAAGUUUGCAUGUUGGUAUAUAUGGCGUUGGUGGAAUAUAGAAGUUUGCAUGUUGGUAUAUAUGGCGUUGGUGGAAUAUAGAAGUUUGCAUGUUGGUAUAUAUGGCGUUGGUGGAAUAUAGAAGUUUGCAUGUUGGUAUAUAUGGCGUUGGUGGAAUAGGAAAAAAAGUUAUCUACAAUCAAAUAUUUCGACAGUCUAAAGUACUAAACGAGUCAAAUCGCAUAAUAUAACACAACAUUCAACAGCAAAA
Molecule: long non-coding RNA, 3332 nt
Filed under: Capsicum annuum
Lineage: Eukaryota; Viridiplantae; Streptophyta; Magnoliopsida; Solanales; Solanaceae
Description: long non-coding RNA (CANN_LNC003567)
Source: RNAcentral